UUAAAUAAGGACAUUACACAUGUGAAUCAAACGUUUAUUAUAUAACAAAUAUAAUAAAUAAGUGGUGAAGAAGUGAGUAAAAAAUAGAAAUAAUGAACUAUAAAUUAUAUUAAAUGUAUAAUAAAUUAUAUAUAUAAAAAUAUAUAUAAAUAAAAUUAAAUUGUUUAUAGUCAAGUCUAUAAUAGUUUAAGGUAGUAGGAUUAAUAAAAGAUAAACCUAGCCAACGAUCUAUAAUCGAUAAUGAAAGUUAUAAUGAUCACAUUGAUUAAUGAUUUAAUCAAUAUCUAUAGAUACAGCAGUGGGGAAUAUUAAACAAUGAUCGAAAGAUUGAUUUAGUUACUUAUUAAGAUGAAUAUUUAAUUGAUAAAAAAUAAAAUCUAUAUAUAAUUAAAAUAAUGAUAUUAAUUACUUUAAUAUUUAAAGUAUUUAUUAAUAUUUCAAAUAUAAAUAUAUAAUAGUCUUAACAAAUAAUUGUGCCAGCAGUUGCGGUUAUACAAUGAAGGUUAACGUUAAUC
Molecule: ribosomal RNA, 515 nt
Filed under: Monosporozyma unispora
Lineage: Eukaryota; Fungi; Ascomycota; Saccharomycetes; Saccharomycetales; Saccharomycetaceae
Description: Kazachstania unispora partial small subunit ribosomal RNA
Source: RNAcentral